UACGGGGGGAGCAAGCGUUGUUCGGAUUUACUGGGCGUAAAGGGCGCGUAGUCGGUCGUGACAAGUCACUUGUGAAAUCUCCGGGCUUAACUCGGAACGGUCAAGUGAUACUGUCGGACUAGAGUACAGAAGGGGCAACUGGAAUUCUCGGUGUAGCGGUGAAAUGCGUAGAUAUCGAGAGGAACACCUGCGGCGAAGGCGGGUUGCUGGGCUGAUACUGACGCUGAGGCGCGAAAGCCAGGGGAGCGAACGGG
Molecule: ribosomal RNA, 254 nt
Filed under: uncultured bacterium
Lineage: Bacteria
Description: partial 16S ribosomal RNA
Rfam family: Bacterial small subunit ribosomal RNA
Source: RNAcentral